CGUCCGAUCACCGAAGUUAAGCAACGUCGAGCCCGGUCAGUACUUGGAUGGGUGACCGCUUGGGAAUACCGGGUGCUGUAGACUU
Molecule: ribosomal RNA, 85 nt
Filed under: Pharus legumen
Lineage: Eukaryota; Metazoa; Mollusca; Bivalvia; Adapedonta; Pharidae
Source: RNAcentral